RNAcentral lists this non-coding RNA (23 nucleotides) under Arabidopsis thaliana (thale cress). The record is from RNAcentral. Lineage: Eukaryota; Viridiplantae; Streptophyta; Magnoliopsida; Brassicales; Brassicaceae.
UUCGUUCGAGUCAUUUUCUCCUA